Molecule: ribosomal RNA, 253 nt
Filed under: uncultured bacterium
Lineage: Bacteria
Description: partial 16S ribosomal RNA
Rfam family: Bacterial small subunit ribosomal RNA
Source: RNAcentral
UACAGAGGGUGCAAACGUUGUUCGGAAUUACUGGGCGUAAAGCGAACGUAGGCGGUGUUCCAUGUCAGAGGUGAAAGCCUGGGGCUCAACUCCAGAAUUGCCUUUGAAACGGGAACGCUUGAGUCCGAGAGAGGGUGGCGGAAUUCCUAGUGUAGAGGUGAAAUUCGUAGAUAUUAGGAAGAACACCAGUGGCGAAGGCGGCCACCUGGCUCGGUACUGACGCUCAGGUUCGAAAGCGUGGGGAGCAAACAGG